AGAGUUUGAUCCUGGCUCAGGACGAACGCUGGCGGCGUACUUAACACAUGCAAGUCGAACGGAAAGGCCCUGCUUGCAGGGUACUCGAGUGGCGAACGGGUGAGUAACACGUGGGUGAUCUGCCCUGCACUUCGGGAUAAGCUUGGGAAACUGGGUCUAAUACCGGAUAGGACCGCACUUUAGUGUGUGUGGUGGAAAGUUUUUUCGGUGUAGGAUGAGCUCGCGGCCUAUCAGCUUGUUGGUGGGGUAAUGGCCUACCAAGGCGGCGACGGGUAGCCGGCCUGAGAGGGUGUACGGCCACAUUGGGACUGAGAUACGGCCCAGACUCCUACGGGAGGCAGCAGAAGGG
This 349-nucleotide ribosomal RNA is filed under the name uncultured Corynebacteriaceae bacterium. Its description in RNAcentral is "bacterial SSU rRNA". It matches the Rfam family "Bacterial small subunit ribosomal RNA", at positions 8 to 359 of the family's 1533-position model. Lineage: Bacteria; Bacillati; Actinomycetota; Actinomycetes; Mycobacteriales; Corynebacteriaceae. The record is from RNAcentral.